RNAcentral lists this long non-coding RNA (5693 nucleotides) under Gossypium barbadense (sea-island cotton). RNAcentral's name for it is "long non-coding RNA (GBAR_LNC019236)". Lineage: Eukaryota; Viridiplantae; Streptophyta; Magnoliopsida; Malvales; Malvaceae. The record is from RNAcentral.
UUAAAAGUAUAAUAUUAUAUAUAUAUAAAAUAAAUUUUAAUAGGAAAAUAAUUACAUACAAAAUAUAAAUAUUAUAUAAAAUAUAUUAUAAGGGUUAAAACUAUCAUUUGGUCCAAAAGCACUUUUGUCAAUAGCAAAAGCUAAAAAAAAAAACUGCUUUUGCUUUUAAAUUUAAAAUCACUUUUCAAAAUUAUGUUGCUAUCUUCAAAUGUUGACACCAAAAUAAAUAAAAGUCUGCUACCCUAGCACGUUCUUGUCUGCCGCCGCUGGUAGAAGUCUUUGUUUUCUUGUUCUCGUGAAUUUUUUGUUAUUUGAUUUCUGUGUAUCCCACUUAUCUUGUCUAUCGCUUCAGGAAGUGGAUUCAUAACAGUGGCCUAGAAAAGAUGGAGAAUGAAUUAGCCCACUUGUCAAUCAAUGAGGAAGAAGAGGAUGCUAUUCUCAUACCAAUAGAUCCAAAUCUGGAAAUAGAGGGUGAGAUUUUUCAACUUGUAGGAUGUUUUCUCACAGCUAGUGGCAUCCGGUUCGGGAUGUUCGAAUUUGAGAUCUGGGGAAAAAAGUUUUUGUUUCAAUCUUUCAUGCUAUGGAUAUGGACAGGGUGUUAAAGGGUUCCCCUUGGACCUUUAACAAUCAUUUGUUGAUACUUUACAAAUUGUAAGUUGGAGAGGAUCCGUUACAGGUCCCUCUAGUUUUGACACCUUUCUGGGUUUAUAUCCAUGAUGUGCCAAUUGGCCUAUAUUCCGAAAAUUUAGCUACGCAGCUGAGGAAUUUUUUGGGGAACUUUCUGGAAUAUGACGUCUUAUACUUAGGGAAAGAAAACAGGAACUUUAUGCGAAUCAGGGUCAAAAUUGAUGUAAGGCACCCUUUGAAAAGGAGGAAACAAAUUUUAUUUGGGGAGAGACGUUCAUACAUUACUUUUAAGUAUGAAAGACUAUCACUUUUUUGGUUUUUCUAUGAAAGACUGGGUCAUAGUGAUUCAUUCUGUGAAACAAAAAUGAAUAUUGGAGUAGAAAUGGCAGAUUUGGGAUGGGAUUUAUUUAUCAGAACACAAUCUCGAAGGUCACUAUCCAUAAAAAGUAUUUGGUUACGGGAUGAAACAGAUGAUGAUAGGGGAGGACUUGGUGAAGAAAAUAAAGAGGUCCGAAUGGGGCAACAGAAGACAGGUAGAAAAUUAAGAUUUGGGAAGCCUGUUGAUCUAAUUCUUGGUCUCAAUCUGGAAGGAGGCUUAGGUUGCGUAGGCCAAAGAAAGGAAAAUUGUGCGAAUAUCAUGAUUUGGUGGAAGUUGCUCUUAUGAGGGAGGAGAGAAAGAAGAGAUCUAUAGGGGAAAUUAAAGAUUGUGCAGGAAGAUAAGAGAAGGGCAAUAUGAUGACAAGAAGUAGUAGAGUGGUGGAAUUCAAUUAUUUAACAUCGGCGACUGCCAAAUAGCAAGUCGACUAGGCGCAAUGAAAAUAUUAAGUUGGAAUGUCCGUGGAUUGGGGAAUCCACGGAUAGUUCGAAGACUUCAGCAUUCGCUGAAGAAUUAUAAUCCCCAAAUUAUCUUCUUCAUGGAGACCAAGCUUUGUAGAAAUCAGAUGGAAAGAAUUCGUCGUAUAUGUGGUUUUGCGAAUGGUAUUGAUGUGGAUUUAGAGGGUACUAGAGGAGGGUUGUGUCUGGCAUGGCGAAAUGAUAUUAAUGUUACGCUCUAGAAUUUCUCUAAAAGACAUAUUGAUGUGAUGGUGGUUGAUGAUGAAAGAGAUGCUACAUGGCGGCUUACUGGAUUUUAUGGAACACCAUAUGCGUGCGAUAGAGAAGACUUAUGGGCAGUGCUAAAAAGUAUCCGUAAAAAUAAGGAAAUUCCUUGGUUUGUAUGCGGAGAUUUUAAUGAGAUUAUGUAUAAUUUUGAAAAAAAAAGUUUGCUUAGAGAUGAAAAAAGAAUGGAGAUGUUCCGUGAAGCUUUAAAAUUUUGCCAGUUAGCUGAUGUGGGAUAUUCUGGCAGAUGGUUUACAUGGGAAAGAAAUAAUUUACCGAAAACAUGCAUACAAGAACGACUGGACAGGAGUGUUGCAAACGAAAACUGGGUUUCUAUGUUUCCUAUGGUAAAAGUUCAGCAACUGUUUCACUCUUUUUCUGAUCAUUGUCCCUUAUUAAUUAACACAGCUAAGGAAGAUAAACGAAGACCAAAGAGUCAUUUCAAAUUUGAAGCCUGGUGGAUCUUGGAAGAUUCUUUCCUUGAUGAAGCUAAAUAUAUAUGGGAAACAGCAUCUGGAAAUUUUCUACAGAAAUUGGAAAUUUAAAGGGAGGAAUGGAAAAUUGGGUGAGACAAGUACGGAAAAGGAAACAAGGGAAAAAAGAACUUUUAUCAGCAAAGUUAUCAAAACUGAUGGAAGCGGAAAGAGACGAUAUCAAUUUGGCUGAGAUAAUUGAUACGAAGAUUCAACUAAAUUUUGAAAUUGAAAAGGAUGAAAGAUACUGGGAACAAAGGGCAAGACAAAGUUGGCUGAGACUAGGCAACAUAAAUACAACCUUCUUUCACAGUGAAGCAACGCAGAGGAAGAGGAAAAAUAUGAUAAACAAAUUACAAAGCGAUUGCGAAGUGGAAAUGGACGAUCUUCAAGAAAUAGAGAGUAUAGCACGAUCCUAUUUUCAGAAUUUAUUCAAUACAGUGAAUCAAGUGAAUUUUGAUAAUUUGCUUACGGGAAUUAAUCGAUGUAUUUCUGAAGAAGAUAACAGAAAACUUAUAGAACCAUAUACAAAAGAAGAGGUUAGAGAGGCAUUGUUUAAUAUUCAUCCUACAAAGGCACCCGAUGAAGAUGUCUUUCCGGCUCUAUUCUAUAAAAAAUGUUGGCAUUUCAUUGGAGAGGAGAUUAUGGCAUUUUGUUUACUUCUCUUAAAUGGCAGAAUGGAGGUUAGUUCAAUUAAUUUAACGCAUAUUGUCCUUAUCCCAAAAAUUAGUAAUCCUUCCAAUAUGACACAUUUUAGGCCAAUCAAUUUAUGUAAUGUUAUUUAUAAAAUCAUAGCUAAGGCUAUUGCAAGCAGAUUUAGAGGGAUUAUUGAUAAAUGCAUCGAUAGUGCGCAAAGUGCUUUUGUGCCAGGAAGAUUAAUUUCAGACAAUGUUUUGUUGGCCUAUGAAUUAUUACACACACUGAAACAAAAAAGAAUGGGGAAUAAGGGUUUUAUGGCAGUUAAACUUGACAUGAGUAAAACAUACGACAAGAUUGAAUGGAGAUUUAUUCGGGAAAUAAUGCUGAGGAUGGGUUUUGCCGAAAAAUGGAUAGAUUCUCUCAUGAAUUGCAUGUCUACUGUUUCUGAUCAAGUUGAGGUCAAUAGUAGUAUUGGAGAAACUUUUAAUCCAAAAAGGGGACUGAGACAAGGGGAUCCAUUGAGUCCGUUUCUAUUUCUAAUAUGUGGAGAGGGAUUAUCCAAUCUCAUGAGAAUAGCUUCAAAUGAAGAAGUAUUAAAAGGAGUCAAGGCAAGAAGAAGUUGCCCACAAGUAACACACUUAUUAUUUGCAGACGACUACAUUUUAUUCGGGGAAGCGUCAAGAAAAAGAGCCACAGCAAUUAAGGAGAUCCUGAGAGAGUAUAAGCGAUGCUCGGGUCAAUGCGUGAAUUUCGCUAAAUCUACCAUUUUCUUUAGUAAAAACACGUCAGAGGAAGAAAGGAGUUCAGUUGUUCAUUUGCUGGGUUUUCAGAGUUCAGAUGAGCCUGAACGUUAUUUAGGCUUGCCAAAUAUGGUUGGAUGAAAAAAGAAACAAUCUUUUAGGGUUUUGAAAGAUAGAUUGAAGAAGCAUAUUGAGAAUUGGAGUAAUCGAUUUUUGUCGUAAGGGGGAAAAAUGGUUUUCAUAAAGGCUGUUCUUCAAGCCAUACCGACAUAUUCAAUGGCAUGUUUUUUACUCCCAAAAUCACUAUGCAAAGAUCUGGAAAGUAUUGUUGCAAAAUAUUGGUGGCAGAAAGGUCAUGUAAAAGGGGGUAUUCAUUGGUGCUCGUGGAAAAACGGAGGAAUGGGUUUUUGAAAGCUUAGUCAGUUUAAUAUCGCUUUAUUAGCCAAGCAGGAUGGCAUUUAAUAAAUUAUCCAAAUUCCCUUUUAGCAAGAGUGCUUAAAGCUAAAUAUUAUCCACAGACGUGUUAUCUAAAUGCACUGUUGGGAAACUUACCAUCUCUUACCUGGAAGAGUAUUUGGACAGCAAAAGGAAACCUUCUCAAGGGGCUAAGUUGGAGAGUGGGAAAAGGAACCGCAAUAUCUAUUUGGAAUGAUCGAUGGAUACCAGGGAUUGAACCUGAGAUAUGGCAUAACAGAGAAAGAAAUGAGGGGUUAAAUUUAGUAUCAGACCUAAUUGACAGCAUAACCAAGAUGUGAAAAGUAGAGACAAAUACAACUACCUUCCAAUGGGAUGUUGCUCAAAGAAUUCUACAGAUCCCUCUUGCAAGAAUAGACUGGGAGGAUAUGCAGGUGUGGAAAGGUGAAUAUUCUGGUGAUUUCUCAGUCUAGAGCGCCUACAAACUAUUACAAGAAGCUAGCCUGGAUCCUGGUAGUUACUUAGUACACACUGAAACUAAAGAAUUUUACAAGAAUUUAUGGAAUUUACAACUACCACAAAAAAUUUUAAUCCUUAUAUGGCGGAUUUCCUGGAACUAUAUCCCAUCCCUAUCUAAUCUGAGAUAUAAAAGAGUGACCACAAACGCCAGAUGCCCUCGUUGCCAUUCUGAGGAGGACGAUAGCCAUCACGUGUUUCGGAUGGAACUUGAAGGAGUUAGGGGAAGUAAGAUUACUCACGCGCUCACUGAAGCUGAAAGACAAGACAGAGAAACAUCAAGGGAGAUAAUACAGUUUGAUGCAGCCUUUGAUAACAGGAAUUUCAAAUCGGCGUCAGGAAUGGUUGUUCGGGAUCAAGAUGGCAUGAUUAGAGCCUCAAAGUCAACUUUGCACUCCAACAUUUCAUCCCUGUUUGUUGCAGAAGCAUACGCAUGUUUAGAGGCAACCAAGUUAGGUAUCAGCAUGGGGAUAGAAUCAGUCACGAUUAUUGGGGACUCGAAAACAAUUAUUAACAAAUGUCAAUCAACAACAAGGGACAAAUCAGUUAUCGGAGCGAUUAUUAAAGAUAAUCAGGGUAAUAGCUCUCGCUUUCAGAAAAUUGUUUUCAGAUUCAUUCAAAGAACAGAAAAUGGCCCAGCUCAUUAUCUUGCAAAUGAUGCAGUUAAAAAAGGGGAAGAGAUGUACCUGAUUGUUCUAGGAGCAAGGCGGGCACAAAAUCCAGACUGAUGAGAGACGAGGAAGACAAAUUGAAACGGUAAAAGAAAGCAAAUAAGGAGAUUUCUUGGAAGUUGUUGCUAUCUUUUUGAAAUAGACCUGACGUUCUUUUGAAAUUGAAAAGUCGAGAAGAGUAAUAGUUACAGGAUGUUUGAUGUGAUUGGGGAAAUGACGGUUGGUUUUUCUAUGUUUCUUCUACUUUUAUUAUUGUUAUUUAAUUAGGUUUUUAAAUUCUGAACAUUUCAGUCGGUUGGCUUUAUAGGAUGUUUAAUUUGCAGCCUAUGUUUUUGUUUACAGCCUAGUCCAGUAUUGUUAUGAGCUGUUUUUCUUGUGUUUCCUUUUUAUUAUAAUACCCCAGUGAAUUAUUUAAAAAAAAAUUUACUUUUCAAAAGUAUUUCUGACUCUAAAAUUUGUUUAUUUAGCUUUACUUCUUACUUGAAAAAUAUUUUUGACUUUAAAAGUACUUUUUG